GUCAGUCAGCUGUGCUCCUUGCAAAAGUUUCCCUUGAAGGCAGACCCAAAUGGGCACCUCCAUGGCUGCCACAAGACACUGGAUAUUUUCAUGUUUGUAUGCUGAGAAGCACUUGGAUUCUGAGGCCAUACUCCGGCCAGGAGGAAGGGCCACAAUCAAUUCCUGGCAUUAUCAUGUGGCAGGAAUCACGUACGCUCCUGCUGCAGUUUCUUACAGCUUCCCACCUCCUUCCAACCAGCUUCAACCAUGGCCGUGAAAUACAUCACUUAAAAUGGAAAGGGAGGAGACACUUCCCAACGAUGCAGAAAUGGACACCAAGCCCCUUAAAGGCAAAAUCAUGACUCAGUCAUCAUAGUUCCCUACUUUGACCUGGCCUAGCGUUGGCAUGAAGAAGGAUCUUAUUAAAUGACUGAUGAGCUGAACUGAACAGAAGGGCCCAGAGCGGGAGCAUGGAGCUACCAUCAUUGAGAGACAACUGACUGCCCAAAGCAAGAAGCAGCAGACACACACGGAGCAAGGAAGGUGAGGGCCCAGGAGCAGCAGAUCUGUGUGAGGAGCCCUGAAAAAAAGUGGGCACCCUGGAAAUAUUUAAAAUCCACACCCCUGCAGUACCCACCUCCUGGUAGGGAGUCAGACUGAGGCUUGUGGAGGCCCCUCCUGAUAAUGACAGGGUCACCUGGGGCCCUAUGGGAGCCCUGGUUCAUGAAAUUACAAACGUCCCUGCCUUUCACAGUGUCUCCCCCAAAAAUGCUACCAGUAUUUUCUUCUCUUAAAU
Molecule: long non-coding RNA, 775 nt
Filed under: Mustela putorius furo (domestic ferret)
Lineage: Eukaryota; Metazoa; Chordata; Mammalia; Carnivora; Mustelidae
Description: lncRNA (ENSMPUG00000030277.1)
Source: RNAcentral